Molecule: ribosomal RNA, 496 nt
Filed under: uncultured bacterium
Lineage: Bacteria
Description: partial 16S ribosomal RNA
Rfam family: Bacterial small subunit ribosomal RNA
Source: RNAcentral
GACGAACGCUGGCGGCGUGCCUAAUACAUGCAAGUUGAGCGCUGAAGGUUGGUACUUGUACCAACUGGAUGAGCAGCAAACGGGUGAGUAACGCGUGGGGAACCUGCCUAUGAGCGGGGGACAACAUCUGGAAACGAUUGCUAAUACCGCAUAAAAUCUUUAACCACAUGUUUCAAGUUUGAAAGAUGCAAUUGCAUUACCCAAUGAUGAUCCCGGGUUGUCUUAGCCAGUUGGUAAGGUAAAGGCUCACCAAGGCAAGGUAACAUAGCCGACCGGAGAGGUGGUCGGCCACAAUGGGACUGGGGCACGGCCCAAGACCCCUCGGGGAGCAGCAGUAGGGGAUCUUCCGGAAUGGGCGGAAGGCCUACCGGGGAACGCCGCGUGGGGGGAGGAGGUUUUCGGAUCGUAAAACUCUGUUGAUAGGGAAGAACGUUAGGGGUAGUUGAAAGCGCAUCAAGUGACGGUAACUACCCAGAAAGGGACGGCUAACUACGUG